UGAGGGGGGGGAGACCGGGCGGCCCUGACGCGAUGGCGACGCCGCCGCCCCCGGUGCCCCCGGUGCCCCCGGUGCCCGAGGGGGCCUGCCCGCCCGCCGAGCCGCUGUCCGAUGUGAGGAAGGCGGGUUACCUGAGGAAACCCAAGAGCAUGCACCGGCGCUUCUUCGUGCUGAGGGCGGCCAGCGAGCUGGGCCCGGCCCGCCUCGAGUACUACGAGAACGAGAAGAAAUGGAGGCAGAAGGCGGGCGCGCCGAAGCGCUCGGUGCAGCUGGAGAGCUGCUUCAACAUCAACAAGAGGGCGGACUCCAAGAACAAGUACCUGGUCGCCCUGUACACCCGGGACGAGUACUUCGCGGUGGCCGCCGACUGCGAGGGUGACCAGGAGAGCUGGUACCGGGCCCUGCUGGAGCUCCAUAACCGGGCCAAGGUGCCUGAGGAGCGGGCUGACAGGGACACCGCCGGGCCCCCGCUCUCUCCUGAGGAGGGGACCGGGGAAGCGAGCCCAGGGCCCGCCUUUAAGGAGGUCUGGCAGGUGGUGCUGAAGCCCAAGGGUCUGGGUCACAGUAAGAACCUGGUGGGUAUAUACCGGCUGUGCCUGACCAACAAGACCAUCAGCCUGGUCAAACUCAACUCGGAGGCAGCCGCCGUGGUGCUGCAGCUGAUGAACAUCAGGCGGUGCGGGCACUCCGAGAAUUUCUUCUUCAUUGAGGUGGGCAGGUCGGCGGUGACCGGUCCCGGAGAGUUCUGGAUGCAGGUCGACGACUCGGUGGUGGCCCAGAACAUGCACGAGACCAUCCUGGAGGCCAUGAAGGCCAUGAGCGAGGAGUUCCGGCCGCGCAGCAAGAGCCAGUCGGCGUCCAGCUCCAACCCCAUCUCGGUGCCCCUCCGGCGGCACCUCAAUAACCCACCGCCCAGCCAGGUGGGCCUGAGCCGCCGCUCCCGGACCGAGAGCGUCACCGCCUCCGCCACCUCGCCGGCCGGCAAGCACAGCUCGUUCCGGGUGCGGGCCUCCAGCGACGGCGAGGGCACCAUGUCCAGGCCGGCGUCAGUGGACGGCAGCCCGGUCAGCCCGAGCACCGGGCGGACGCACUCUCACCGACACCGGGGUGGCUGCAGGCUGCACCCCCCUCUCAACCACAGCAGGUCCAUCCCCAUGCCGUCCGCCCACUGCUCCCCUUCAGCCACCAGCCCCGUCAGCCUGUCCUCCAGCAGCACCAGUGGCCACGGGUCCACCUCGGACAGCCUCUUCCCGAGGCGAUCCAGUGCCUCCAUCUCUGGCUCGCCCAGCGAUGGGGGCUUCAUCUCCUCCGAUGAGUAUGGAUCCAGCCCAUGUGAUUUCAGGAAUUCCUUCAGGAGUGUCACCCCCGAUUCCUUGGGGCACACUCCUCCUGCAAGGGAGGAGCAGGAAUUAAACAACUACAUUUACAUGGGGAAACAUUCGAGCCUUGGUCCAAGUUGCCAAAACAGGGGUGGUCAAAGGUGGACUCCCACAAAAGCUGAGGAUGCAGACUCCGAUAAAGGGUUUAGGAAGCGGGCUCAUUCAUCAGGUACUUCACCACCUACAGUGAUGCACCAAAAGACCUCUUCUCAAACUUCCGCCACUUCCUUUGCCGAGUACACAGAGAUGACACCGUCUUACCCCGGUGGUCGUUUGUCAUCCAGUAAAAAUUCUGCUUUUGUGCCUACUCACUCGUACCCCGAGGAAUGUUUGGAUCUCCAGUUAGGAGAAGGUAGACGUUACAGCCAAAUGGAUGAUGGUUAUAUGCCAAUGUCACCUGGAGUAGCACCUGUACCCAAUAAAAAUGACUACAUGCCAAUGAGCCCAAAAAGUGUUUCUGCCCCACAGCAAAUCAUCAAUCCACGCCAACAUUCUCGUAAAGAUGGUUACAUGAUGAUGUCACCGAGUGGCAGUUGCUCGCCAGAAAAUGUGAACUAUGGGAAAAUAUGGACUAAUGGGGGCAACUCUAAGCUUUCUGUUGAGAGUAACGAUGGGAAAUUAUCAUGCAGUGAUUACAUAAAUAUGUCUCCUGCAAGUUGCUCAACAACAAGCACUCCACCAGACUGCUUCUUCAAUCCAGUUGAAGAACCUCAUAAACCUGUCUGUUCUUACUUCUCACUGCCUCGUUCCUUUAAACAUGUACAUAGAAAGAAUGAUGAGUCCCCUUUACGGAUUGCUGUAAAUUCAGGCCGUCUUUUGUAUUGUGAGGAUUCUUCCUCAUCUACGAGCAGCGACAGUUUAGGAGGUCAAGAUGGUGGACAUCACUCAGUUAGCUCUGCUAAAAAGGAAUUGUAUGUACCGAUGAAAGGUAAACUUGUACGACCCACUAGACUGUCACUUGAUAACACUAAGGCAAGUACAUUGCCCAGAACACGUGAGCAUCCCCUUCCUCCAGAGCCAAAAAGCCCAGGCGAGUAUGUAAAUAUUGAAUUUAGUGACAAAACCUUUUCUUCUAGUUCAUUGUCACUUGUUGAGCACUCUUCAGUUGGAGGCAUGCAUUCUGUUCGACAAAGGCCACCUGUGUCUGAAUACAUGAAUAUGAAUUCAAGAAUGGACUCAUCCAAGUUUGGUUAUGUAUCAAAACCCACCGUGGAUAUCACCAACUCUGCAACUGCCUGCACAUCCAGCACUUGCAGAAAAGAUAGAGGGCAGGCAAGCUGUGAUUAUGUUAGUAUGCAGCUAGUUAACACCUGUACAGACUUGCUGGAAUCAGCAGUAAGUAACUAUAAAGAGAUGACAGUUGGUGGAGGUAUAACAUCUUCCAUUUCCGUUCUACCUCGGGCAGAAGAGAGCUCAUUGACCACUGUUUCUGAUGUCGUGGCUGGUCCUACGAUGGAUCAGAUUUCCGGAAGGAGUGCCUUCACUGUGCUUAAUCUUGUCCCUAAUCGAAACCAAGGUGCCAAAGUUAUCCGUGUUGAUCCCCAAGGAAGAAGAAGACACAGUUCGGAGACUUUUACUUCCACAGCCAAUGUGACUGGCAUGACCUUAUCUUAUGUUGAUCACGUUAAACGCCAUAGUUCAGUGUCCUUCGAAAAUGUGUGGCUUAACAAACCAGGUGAUUCCCUUGUUGCAGGUGCCAAAGAGCAACCAAAUGAUGCCACAGUGCAGAAUGAUUGUGAAAAUGUUAUGAAUUACAUUGAUUUGGACUUGGUAAACGAUUUUAAAAACAAAGGUUGGACCUCCUCUCAGCAUGUAACCCCUCAUCAACCUCAUGGAAAUACCUCUGGUGGUGGUGAUGAUCUGAAUUCUUAUGCAAGCAUCACUUUCCAGAAACCUGAUGAAAUUGUGAAGCCAACAGAAAGGGAAGAUGCUGUCAGACCUGCUGAGUUUCUCCUGCAGCUUCUGCAUCUGUCCCACAUUCAAGAGAAUGAUAUCUUCUUAACCCUCAGCAAGCCUUUCAUGGACUUGAUGAGCACUUAGAGUUUCAAUAAUUUGUACAGUACAACCAGGACCUCUCACUCUUUCACAUAAAGAAUGGUACAACAAAUCACAAUCACUCCAACUUGCUGCAAGAAACCUCAGGACAUUAGUUUUCUGACUGGAUUGCAUGUUCGCCCAUGUAUAUGUCUGUGGAGCACACAGUGUGUGCACACAUGCUCUACAGCGAAUCUGCCUCUGUUCCUUCAUCAGCACACUCUACUUCAACAAUCUCUAUAAGCAAAUGGGAAAGACUGCCAUCAAUGCAACUCAGAUGCCUAACCUGGACUGGAAUACACAAACAUUUAACCUUGACUUUCACGUGCUGCUGAAACAUUUAAGGUUUUCACUGUAAAUUAUUAAGUAUAGAAGUAUUGAUUUUUAAAAGUUGCUAAUGUUUGGAAAAUACAUAAUAAUAUUUAACAUUUUUGCUUCCUUUAUAUUGAUACUUUUUUGAACUGAAAUGUAAUUUUUUUUUCUGAUGCACACGCAUUACUGAUGUGUCUGAGAUAAAUUUCCAGUUCUGUUAUAAACAGGGAAUUUUUUGUUUAAAACUUGUGAAUAUACGCAGUACGAAUGGACUAUAUUUCAGUUCUUGGAUGAAAGCUGUUUAUACAUGGCAUAAUUCUGAAGUGCAGGCUUUGGUGAAUAGUUCUGUUCAUCAUUAUGGCUAUUGUACUAGUAAUGCAGCCCUCUUGUCUUGGGUUGAUUUGACAAUAAUUUUAUACUUUUCCUCUCUAGGUGAGAUACAUUGCCGUCAGGAGAUGCUGACAUUACUGUACAUGGUACUCGAAUGUCGAUGGAAUUUGAAACCGUUGUCAAAAACAAUCAAAUUUAGUCUUCCUUUUCUUUGUGUAUAUAUAAGCAUAUACUUACAUAACCUGCCCCAGAAUGGACAAUAUUGUGGUUGUAAUUUCUGGAGACUGACUCCUCAUCCCUAAGCAGACAGAGUCAAUGGAAGGAAGGCUGGUUUUCGUGAUGGACUGGGCUCUGUUCACAACUGGUCGUGGGCAGAGCAGUUGCCGUGCCAAGCUGUGAUGUGUCCCGAAAGGAUGCUUUUUAUGUUGCAUCUAUAAAAAUUGCACACGACUGAUGCAGUUCAAAGCAGCAACUCACCAUCACCGUCUCAAGGAUAACUGGAAUGGAGACUGAAUGAUGGCCCAUGUCCCGCGAGAGAAUAAAAACAAGGUGCUGUUUGAUAGCACUGCUAACGGCACUUUCCAACACUUCACUGAUGAUACUGGAGGUUGUACUUGAUGUCCUUAAGAAAACGCCAAGGGCACUGCUUUAUUAUCUACUGCCUUCACCUGUCCUUCUUCAAUGAUUUUUGCACAUUUGCACCCACUGUAGAAUUGUAACCCUAUUAUAUAUUGUAUUUCACUGCUCUUCUGACCAAACGGUAUCAUCUCACACUGCUCUGCAUUGAAUAGAUACAUUUGAAAUCUAGUCUUAAUCUUAUGCCAGUGCUAGGUGUGGAAAUUUAAUUUUUCAAACCAAUUAUUCAUUCGCAAGGAACUCCCGCCUUGACUAGCUUUGAAGCAAUAAUUACUUUUUUACGUCUUGCAAUUCCAAAUUUGUUAUCUGCAUAAC
Molecule: RNA transcript, 5006 nt
Organism: Hemiscyllium ocellatum (epaulette shark)
Lineage: Eukaryota; Metazoa; Chordata; Chondrichthyes; Orectolobiformes; Hemiscylliidae
Gene: irs1
Gene name: insulin receptor substrate 1
Exons: 5
Source: RefSeq, a predicted model, not a curated record